GAUGAAGAACGCAGCGAAAUGCGAUAAGUAAUGUGAAUUGCAGAAUUCAGUGAAUCAUCGAGUCUUUGAACGCACAUUGCGCCCCCUGGUAUUCCGGGGGGCAUGCCUGUCCGAGCGUCAUUGCCGCCCUCAAGCACGGCUUGUGUGUUGGGCCCCCGCCCCCCGGCUUCGGGGGGCGGGCCCGAAAGGCAGCGGCGGCACCGCGUCCGGUCCUCGAGCGUAUGGGGCUUCGUCACCCGCUCUGUAGGCCCGGCCGGCGCCCGCCGGCGGCCCCAAUCAAUCUUUCCAGGUUGACCUCGGAUCAGGUAGGGAUACCCGCUGAACUUAAGCAUAUCAAUAAGCGGAGGA
Molecule: unclassified non-coding RNA, 348 nt
Filed under: soil metagenome
Description: partial contains 5.8S ribosomal RNA, internal transcribed spacer 2, and large subunit ribosomal RNA
Rfam family: 5.8S ribosomal RNA (bases 1-120)
Source: RNAcentral